Molecule: ribosomal RNA, 380 nt
Filed under: uncultured archaeon
Lineage: Archaea
Description: bacterial SSU rRNA
Rfam family: Archaeal small subunit ribosomal RNA
Source: RNAcentral
UAAUACUCGAGCCCCAAGUGGUAUCCGCCAUUAGUGGGUCUAAAGCGUCCGUAGCCGGUUUGAUAAGUUCCCAGUGAAAUCCUUUGGUAAACUGAAGGGCUUGCUGGGAAUACUACCAGACUUGGGACUGGGAGAGGGUAGACGUACUCCCGGGGGAGGGGUAAAAUCCUAUAAUCCUGGGGGGACGACCGGUGGCGAAGGCUUCUACCUAGAACAGGUUCGACGGUGAGGGACGAAACCUAGGGGAGCGAUCGGGAUUAGAUACCCCGGUAGUCCUAGGCGUAAACGAUGCCCGUUUGGUGUUGCUGACCUUUCGAGGGUCUGCAGUGCCGGAGCGUAGGUGUUAAACGGGCCACCUGGGAAGUACGACCGCAAGGUUG